CCCAAGAAAAAGAAAUUGGACAGUACAUGUGUGAAUCAAAAAUGCCAGUCCAUAACUGAAUGCAAAUCACUACCAAAUAUGCAGAUGGGAAGAACAGCUAGGAACGAUGCCUUCUCAGCAGAGCUACAGAGAAGUAUAAAUGUACCGUUUCAAAACAUCCAAAAAAGAAACAGCCGUGGAGAAUCCUCCCUUCUUUUAGCAUCCAAGACUGGGGACUUAGCUCUUGUCAAAGCCCUUGUCAAUGCUGGAGUAAGUCUUAACCAGGCAGAUUCCUCAGGAUGGACACCCCUACACGAGGCCUGUAAUCUGG
Long non-coding RNA from Scleropages formosus (Asian bonytongue), 310 nucleotides. RefSeq lists it as uncharacterized. The transcript has 3 exons. The record is from RefSeq and is a predicted model, not a curated record. Lineage: Eukaryota; Metazoa; Chordata; Actinopteri; Osteoglossiformes; Osteoglossidae.